Long non-coding RNA from Chinchilla lanigera (long-tailed chinchilla), 945 nucleotides. RefSeq lists it as uncharacterized. The record is from RefSeq and is a predicted model, not a curated record. Lineage: Eukaryota; Metazoa; Chordata; Mammalia; Rodentia; Chinchillidae. The transcript is spliced from 3 exons.
ACACACUAAGUGUCAGCUUCUAUCUUCACCUAUUCUCUUACACCUAGAGGAAGAGGAAAUGCAGGCUCUCUGGGCGGGCUGAGAGGUGAACAGGAAGUGAGACCAGCAAGGACAGAUGGCUGUUUGCAGAAUCUCACAAAGGAGACAGGGAGUGUGGGAAGAAGCUGAACACAGAAUGCUUUUUGGCAUUUUCCUUUCCGGGCUGCUGGCCUCUCUCAGAUACUGGAAGAAAGAGCCACGUGAGGGGAGAAGCUGAAGCACAGAGCAGGUCAACCCCCGAAAGAAGUGAAUGCCACAGGAGAUGGUAGGCGGCGGAUCUAGCCCAGGGGCUGGAGGAGCCUUGGACCACAGCGCUUGUGUCUCUCUGGGAGACGAAAGGAAACACAGAGAGGAUGGGUGCCAGGAUGCUCACACCUGAGUGCGCUCUGGGGGGUGUUUGGCUUUGUGCGCACUUGGUUAGCUUAGGUGAACUGUGUUCGGGUGGCUGCAAGUUUACCACAUUAAGGUAGAGGAUCAUCAAGUUCACAGUGGCGGAACAAAAGACUUGUAAAGUUCCUCAGCUGCAGCUGGCCUUGCCCUGCCCACAGUGCCAACAGCACGAGAUCAGAUGCUUUCAGAGCUGCCUGGAUAGAGCCUGGUGAUUGGAGGGAGGCCAGGGUGAAGAUCACUUCCUGGAGAGAAACGGAAGGCUUUGGGCAAACCAAUGAGCCUGACAGACUGCAUGGAGAAGCCCUUGGCUGCAGGACCUAAUUGUGGCUGCUCCUUCCAGCCACCAGCUGACUCUGGGACUUAUGUGGGCAGGAGUGCUUAAAAUCUGGCCCUUGAGUGCUUGGCAGAGGAACUACUUGUCCGAGUCCCUCACAGUCACUGAGAAUCUGCCAUGUGUCCCGCCCCGGGUGAAGUGCUUAGAAGACAUGACCUCACCCGUCUUCACCACAGUGGCAG